GAAGCUGACCAGACAGUCGCCGCUUCGUCGUCGUCCUUUCGGGGAGACGGGCGGAGGGGAGGAAAGUCCGGGCUCCAUAGGGCAGGGUGCCAGGUAACGCCUGGGGGGGAAACCCACGACCAGUGCAACAGAGAGCAGACCGCCGAUGGCCCACGUAAGUGGGAUCAGGUAAGGGUGAAAGGGUGCGGUAAGAGCGCACCGCGCGGCUGGUAACAGUCCGUGGCACGGUAAACUCCACCCGGAGCAAGGCCAAAUAGGGGUUCAUAAGGUACGGCCCGUACUGAACCCGGGUAGGCUGCUUGAGCCAGUGAGCGAUUGCUGGCCUAGAUGAAUGACUGUCCACGACAGAACCCGGCUUAUCGGUCAGUUUCAC
This 373-nucleotide RNase P RNA is filed under the name Salmonella enterica. RNAcentral's name for it is "RNase P RNA component class A". It matches the Rfam family "Bacterial RNase P class A". From Rfam's summary of the family: Ribonuclease P (RNase P) is a ubiquitous endoribonuclease, found in archaea, bacteria and eukarya as well as chloroplasts and mitochondria. Its best characterised activity is the generation of mature 5'-ends of tRNAs by cleaving the 5'-leader elements of precursor-tRNAs. Cellular RNase Ps are ribonucleoproteins. The record is from RNAcentral. Lineage: Bacteria; Pseudomonadati; Pseudomonadota; Gammaproteobacteria; Enterobacterales; Enterobacteriaceae. RNAcentral also lists the same sequence under 1 other name.